UACAUGCUGACGAGUGGCGCACGGGUGCGUAACACGUAUGCAACCUACCCACCACCGGGGGAUAACCCUGAGAAAUUAGGGCUAAUACCCCAUGGUAUCGAGAAACGGCAUCGUUUUUUGAUUAAAGAUUGAUCGGUGAUGGAUGGGCAUGCGCCCCAUUAGCUAGUUGGUGAGGUAACGGCUCACCAAGGCGACGAUGGGUAGGGGACCUGAGAGGGUUAUCCCCCACACUGGUACUGAGACACGGACCAGACUCCUACGGGAGGCGGCAGUGAGGAAUAUUGGUCAAUGGGCGCAAGCCUGAACCAGCCAUCCCGCGUGCAGGAAGACUGCCCUAUGGGUUGUAAACUGCUUUUUCAGGGGGAGAAACACUUCGACGUGUCGGAGCUUGACGGUACCCUGAGAAUAAGCAUCGGCUAACUCCGUGCCAGCAGCCGCGGUAAUACGGAGGAUGCGAGCGUUAUCCGGAUUUAUUGGGUUUAAAGGGUGCGUAGGCGGAUUAAUAAGUCAGUGGUGAAAAUCUGCAGCUUAACUGUAGACUUGCCGUUGAUACUGUUAGUCUUGAGUAUGGUCAAGGUAGGCGGAAUGUGUAAUGUAGCGGUGAAAUGCUUAGAUAUUACACAGAACACCGAUUGCGAAGGCAGCUUUCUGGGCCAUUACUGACGCUGAUGCACGAAAGCGUGGGUAGCGAACAGGAUUAGAUACCCUGGUAGUCCACGCCGUAAACGAUGAUCACUCGCUGUUGGCGAUACACAGUCAGCGGCUAAGCAAAAGCAUUAAGUGAUCCACCUGGGGAGUACGGCCGCAAGGCUGAAACUCAAAGGAAUUGACGGGGGCCCGCACAAGCGGAGGAACAUGUGGUUUAAUUCGAUGAUACGCGAGGAACCUUACCUGGGCUUAAAUGUAGAGUGCAUGUAGUGGAAACACUGCUUCCCUUCGGGGCUCUUUGCAAGGUGCUGCAUGGUUGUCGUCAGCUCGUGCCGUGAG
Molecule: ribosomal RNA, 987 nt
Filed under: uncultured bacterium
Lineage: Bacteria
Description: bacterial SSU rRNA
Rfam family: Bacterial small subunit ribosomal RNA
Source: RNAcentral